This 73-nucleotide transfer RNA is filed under the name Ictidomys tridecemlineatus (thirteen-lined ground squirrel). RNAcentral describes it as "Spermophilus tridecemlineatus (thirteen-lined ground squirrel) tRNA". It matches the Rfam family "tRNA". Rfam says of the family: Transfer RNA (tRNA) molecules are approximately 80 nucleotides in length. The record is from Rfam by way of RNAcentral. Lineage: Eukaryota; Metazoa; Chordata; Mammalia; Rodentia; Sciuridae.
GGAGAUGUAGUUCAGUGGUAGAGCACUUGCCUAGUAUACAAUGAAGUCCUGGGUUCAAUCCCUAGCACCACAA